Molecule: long non-coding RNA, 748 nt
Organism: Tripterygium wilfordii
Lineage: Eukaryota; Viridiplantae; Streptophyta; Magnoliopsida; Celastrales; Celastraceae
Exons: 4
Source: RefSeq, a predicted model, not a curated record
CCCACUCUCUCAACACAAAUGUGAAACCUUUUUCAUCUAAUAUUUUGAUUUGAAGAAUGCAGACACUAUUGAAGAACUUGUAGGCAAUUUGCUAACGAAGCCGCUUAUUAGGAAGCUUGAGGUUUAUCAUCUAACCCUAAUUUGAAGGAGGUGAGGAAAUGGUCAUCGCAAGACAAGGGAAGCAUCCAGAAUCAGAAUUUGUGGCAAGGAGAUUUGCUAACAACGUUAGGACAAUGAAGACAGUAACUAUUAAGGCCGCAAUAGACAAUGCAAUUGCAAGAGAGUCAGAUGUUGAUGCACAAGAUGUGGCACAACUGUUAAUGCUUUAUGUGUGUCUCACACUUUCUUCUCCACUUCAACGGAUGGGAUUGCAUGGGGAUUCAUUCCAUACAUUGAAGAUUUGGUGAACAUGAAAAAGUACAAUUGGUCGAAAGCAAUUGCGAUUAACCUCAUGGAUUCUAUUAAGAAGUGUGCACAAAAUCCUGAGAAGAUUAUCGGUUGUGUUACUAUAAUGUUGUACUUGUUCUGCGAACAUACCAAAUUGUUCGUUCCAACAGACACAAAAGGUUUCCCACGAUUCCUAAAAUGAAAAUAUGAUUAAACCGACAAAGUUGGAAGUUCUCGGGACUCGAAAAAAAUGCAUAGAGAUGAAGAAUUGUCCGGACACCUUCAUUGGAUGUUCGGAUAGUUGAAUCCAAGGGCAAAAGGUCAAAGAAUCAUGAAGCUACAACAAAAAAAUGAAAAUCUG